RNAcentral lists this ribosomal RNA (450 nucleotides) under uncultured bacterium. RNAcentral describes it as "partial 16S ribosomal RNA". It matches the Rfam family "Bacterial small subunit ribosomal RNA", at positions 354 to 796 of the family's 1533-position model. The record is from RNAcentral.
GUGGGGAAUCUUCCGCAAUGGACGAAAGUCUGACGGAGCAACGCCGCGUGAGUGAUGAAGGUCUUCGGAUUGUAAAGCUCUGUUAAUCGGGACGAAAGAGCCUAGUGUGAAUAAUGCUAGGAAGUGACGGUACCGGAAUAGAAAGCCACGGCUAACUACGUGCCAGCAGCCGCGGUAAUACGUAGGUGGCAAGCGUUGUCCGGAAUUAUUGGGCGUAAAGCGCGCGCAGGCGGAUCUGCCAGUCUGUCUUAAAAGUUCGGGGCUUAACCCCGUGAUGGGAUGGAAACUACAGAUCUAGAGUAUCGGAGAGGAAAGUGGAAUUCCUAGUGUAGCGGUGAAAUGCGUAGAUAUUAGGAAGAACACCAGUGGCGAAGGCGACUUUCUGGACGAUGUCUGACGCUGAGGCGCGAAAGCUAGGGGAGCGAACGGGAUUAGAUACCCGGGUAGUCC